GACGAACGCUGGCGGCGUGCCUAACACAUGCAAGUCGAGCGGAGACAUGAGGGAGCUUGCUCCCGAGUGUUUUAGCGGCGGACGGGUGAGUAACGCGUGAGCAACCUUUCUCUCAGUGGGGAAUAACACAGGGAAACCUGUACUAAUACCGCAUGAGACCACAAUGCCGCAUGGCAUAGGGGUCAAAGAUUUAUUGCUGAGAGGUGGGCUCGCGUCCGAUUAGAUAGUUGGUGAGGUAACGGCUCACCAAGUCGACGAUCGGUAGCCGACCUGAGAGGGUGAUCGGCCACAUUGGGACUGAGACACGGCCCAAACUCCUACGGGAGGCAGCAGUGGGGAAUAUUGGGCAAUGGGCGAAAGCCUGACCCAGCAACGCCGCGUGAAGGAAGAAGGUCUUCGGAUCGGUAAACUUCUGUCCUAAGUGAAGAGAAGAAGACGGUAGCUUAGGAGGAAGCCCCGGCUAACUACGUG
This 471-nucleotide ribosomal RNA is filed under the name uncultured bacterium. RNAcentral describes it as "bacterial SSU rRNA". It matches the Rfam family "Bacterial small subunit ribosomal RNA", at positions 28 to 507 of the family's 1533-position model. The record is from RNAcentral.